CGCGACAACGCAUGUGGACCAGUUUCCUUAUUUGAGUCCCUUUUUUCAGUUCAUUUUACUCGUGUCUAGAAGCCCUUACACUUCGCGAAUUUUUCGCAAAAUCAGUUUUUAGAGAACUCCUAAGUCUUUUUGCGGGAAUAUUUGUAAUUCUUAGUAUUGGAGUACAAUUGUGAGAUUAUAAAACACUGUAGUCAUUGCGUACCUAUUGAUGAGAUUAAUUUUUUGCUAAAACUAAUUAGUCAGAAUCAGUACAAGAAAUAGCGUCUCUGCAUGAACCUUAGAAAAUAAAAAUGUCACCCACACCCCCUACCCAAAGAGGUUUGCGUUCAGCGCUCGAAUCAGUAAAUCUAAAAUCUAUCUUGCGGUAAAGUUUUUAAAAACAAGAUUGACGAAUAACUUCAGGUGGUUUGGGCUUGGAUUUGUUUGUCUUAUAAAGACAGUGUGCCAGGUCCGCAACCAUAGGAUUCGUUUUACAGUUCUAAUAUACUUUCCCUAAUAGAGCAGUCACAAUUUACAGAAUUUGUAGUGUUUCUAUGCUUCCGUUUACGGUCCAGGAAAUCCAGUCACUGGGAUAUUUUCAAAUGUUUAGUCUGUUCAAGUAUAGUUCCAUGCAGCAAAACCUCGCUAAUGGAAAUACAUACACGGUACAUACUACAAAGUGUAGACUUGCUGGAGUAAUAUUUAAUUUUAUUGCCAUACUGAAUUAUUCCAAUUAUAUUUCGAACAUUAUCUUACAUUAAAGGACGAUAUCAAAACUUUAGGCAUAAAAUUUACCAAAAGUUCAUCAUUAACUUGUCUGAAAGAAACAUUUCUCCACAUAUACAUAUUCUAUGAUCUUCAGAUACGACCUGUCUGUGUUUAAUUAGACCAUCAAAAAUCUUGAAGGAACCAUGAGUUACCUUUUCUCAAGAUUUCAUCAUAAAAACACGAACAUGACAGUACUUUUGAUCUUUAAACUCUUUUCUACUACUGAUUGGAAUAUAAAGGCCGUUAUAAUAGUUUGUAUACACCAAUGAUCGGUUGUACGAAGGCCGGAUUGCAAUUUUUCAACCGUUGUAAAAAUGCUUGGAAAGUAAUAAAAAUAGGAACAUGGUUCCCAACAACUGGAAUAUUUAUAUACUAAAGUUGAGAUUGGAUUUUACCCGAGUCACUGUCCGGUGGAUAACUCUAUCCGGCCGUCGUACAACCCAGCCACAAUACAAUUUAAAGUUCUAAACACUUAAUUAACCCUGAAUAAAUUUGAGUUCCCUUAAUUUUUACAUAUUUCUUGGUAGUUGAGGUUCAUAGUAGCUAUGAGCUAGGACACUUCCAUCUGCAUCGUCUUCUGUUAUACGCCUUGGCUAUCUUGUUCCUGAGAAAAAGAACAAAUUUUGAAUGGAGUUCAGGUCCAAGUUGUUGUCUGUUGUGCACUAGCCUGCUCACAGACGUUGUUAUUCUUACGCCAAGCGACGAAUUACUACCGUCUGCUUACCCGAGCGUCAAACUGAAUUCCGCUACGUCGACCAAUCAGAAUUUACCUUCCAAAUUCUGGAAAGUGACGUCAGUUGAUUUAGGAGCGGAAAAAAUAUAAAUAUAUAUUUUGAAAGCAGUCGUCGGUUGAAUUUUGGUCAAAAUUGCACAUAAAUUGAAUUUAAAGAUACUGAUACUUGUCAUGCAGGUAAUAAAAUGCACCAUUAAUGAUCAGAUUUGGAUAUUAAAGAUGUUCGGUUAUAUUUAAAACGCGGACAGGAUUGGCAUAUUUAAUAUACUGUAUGAAGCAAGACAGGCGAGACAGCAUCAAAUGCCGAAUAUAUUUCGCUGAAAUUUGUACUUUUGACGGAUGUUUAUCUUUAUAAGACAACAGAACUCGGAAGACAGAAAAUUUUAUAUAAUACUGUCAGUGGCUUAGAAAGCGAAAUAUUAUCUUCAGAGUAAACUAAUUUGCUGUUUGAGCAAUCACUUCUGAAUGUAAACUGUAAACACAACACAAAACGAGAAACUUGUAUUAAAAUUGCGCCGUGAUGAAUUUUCCAAUUCGUCCAAAAUUUGAAACGUUUAUACUCUAACUUGGCUAUACUUUUCUACAUGACAAUGAGAGCUUAAUCUUUUAGAAGUUUUCGUCGAAGUCAUGGCAUAUAGGAAGUAUCAAGAGCAACAUUUGGACAUAUCCUGAUAUACUCGAGUUUCCCGAUUGAUUGUUUGCCUUUGACAUUGUUAACAAAAAUUUAAAUUUCGCCUACUGCAUAACCCGCGUGCAGGCCCAAGGGAGCAGGUUCAAGGGAACUUGAUAGUAGGCCUGCAAGCAAGGCCCGGUAUUUUGUACCUUCCGCGUUCGCCCACGAACGCGGCAUUCUGAUUGGCUGUUUGCGGUUGGAUUCUAUAAUUAGGUCAGUAAUUCAUCACAAAGGCUCUCGAUAAGCUCAAAAUUCGAAAAUUGAUCACUUUUUUCGAUUAUAAAUGGAACAAGAGCAGACUGUUUAUUGUUUACUAGAAGGAAGAGAUGUUUUUGCCGUUAUGCCAAUGGGGAUUGCUUGUCGUGAGUUGUUGGAAUAGCAACAUUACGACUGGGGUAAACUAUAGUAACCUUUACUUGAGUUUCAUUAAUUUCAAGCAGACUUGAUACGUUAUAUGUUCCUCAAGAAAAUUAUCUUUUGGUUGAUGUUGAGAUGCAGUUGCAUGUAAGGACUGUAAGCCUAUUCGAAACACUUUGCGAUUUACAAGGCUUCGCUAAGAGAACGAAACAGAAGACGGUAUAUUUAAAUUGCCGUUUGAAACGAAACGGUCUGGACUCUGAACGCUCUCUUCUUUUGUAGAGUUCUUUACCAAAUGAAAUAACUGAAAUAAAUUUCGUACUUUCCGCCGCCAACAAGAAUUGCACACACGAUCUGAUAAGUG
Molecule: long non-coding RNA, 2874 nt
Filed under: Paramuricea clavata
Lineage: Eukaryota; Metazoa; Cnidaria; Anthozoa; Malacalcyonacea; Plexauridae
Source: RNAcentral